Molecule: long non-coding RNA, 1697 nt
Organism: Acipenser ruthenus (sterlet)
Lineage: Eukaryota; Metazoa; Chordata; Actinopteri; Acipenseriformes; Acipenseridae
Exons: 3
Source: RefSeq, a predicted model, not a curated record
CAAAAAUAGCAUAAAACAUAAAAGUGCAAAUUGGCAUGGCGCAACUGAGUUGUCUACACUGUGCUCAGAUGUGCCCCAGCCUCUGAGGAAAAAGAAACGCAGAGCAAUAAGAAAGUGUAACACAGCUGAGGUAAGGGUCCCAAUAAUGUGCUACUUCAUAUGGAUGCAGAGCACUUUGAAAUCGAUCGUAUAUGAAGUAUUUCACUUUAAAAAAGUUUUUAUUGUCAUUUUUUUUCUUCUACCUUUUAUUACCUUGGCUGUUAUUACAGAAAUGUGAAAUGGAAGUUUGUCGCUAUGUGUCUAUUGUAAUUUUUUUCUGACUACACAGAAGAUCAGAUUAUCGGAUUACUAAUAGUACAGGUCAUUACAUCUUCCCUACAGGGUAAAUGGAAAUCCACAGGUUUUACAAACAAAUGUGUGCGAUUAAUUGUUAGUCCUGUUAUACAUUAUUUUAUUUUUUAACAGAUCUUGCAAGAGUCUCAUAAAGAUCACGAAAGCAUAAAUGACAGUGCAGCAAAGGACAGCGUAGAGGACACUAGUGAAUCCGAAUCAUUUCCUCCAGCAGGGUGUGGUGUAGAUGUAGAAAGCUGUCAGACAGCAGUCCAAACACCGAAAUGGAGAUUGCCUUACAAAGGCGUGGCUGUGCAGGUGAAUGAUAGCACACCCAAAAAACUUUUAAAGAUGCAGCUGUGCAAACGGAUGAAAUUGGCUCACCUUGCACAAACUCAACAUCUCCAGAACGAGAUGACGAUCAGAAGCAGAACAAUCCUUAAAACCAGUACAAGAUGAGAUGUUGAUACAAAGUGAGGAAGUUGAGGAAAAUGAAAACAAGCUGGACCCAUUAUCUGACACUGACACCUACCAAUCUGAUUAUUCAGAAACUUCAGAAGCUGCUGAAGAAAUUUGUAACCCCCAAAUACAGCUGAGGAGAGAAAGUUUAUAGUUUUUGAAAGUCAGCUAUUACAAUUAUUUAUAAUCGCUUUUAUAAUUAUCGCUUGCUUCAGGAUCGUAUUGAUAAGGAUUUUUGGUUUUAAAUGAUGUUUCUUCUGAAUCCCUUCAACAAAGUCGUCCUCCUCACUCUCCGAGGUUUCAGCAUCAUUUUUUUGUAAACACUUGCUAGCUCCCUGCGUAGCCAUGCUGCUUCUGUUCCACUUGCCUUCCCCUGCGCACAUCAUAUAGCAACGGGAGGAGUUCCAUAGCAACCACUGAAGCACGCUUCCUGUUUACCAAAACGCUGAUUUAAAACUUAAAAUUAUACUGCUUUCCAGCAACUUUUGAGUAAAACAGAACAUUGGAGUUUGUUUUGGGGUAGUUUAACUAGUUAAUUUUUAUUAGUUGUACAAAUCGCUGGAAGGACACUUUAAGGAGGUAGGGAGUUUGGUGAGUUUUUGUUCUGUGUGUUCAGGGAGAAUGAAUGGGAGAGAAGAGAAAAGCAAUUAAAAUCAUAACAAUUGCUACGCAUGGUGGAGUGGAAACAGCAUGGUACUUGUUUUGCAUCUGUUUGUUCGUUUUGGCCACUGUGCCGUUUUGCUUUACAAAAGUGUUUUGUGUUUAAAUCUUUUUAUUUAUAAUAAACCGGCGCAACAGCACAUUUCACUCACCAAAACCAUCUGUCUAUUUCCUGGCCUGACAUCAGCACAUGAGCCACUGUGUCACAGGGAUAUAUCGUUUGUGAUACAACUGUGCCCUUAUAUUUA